AGUCUUAACGAUGGAUGUCUUGGUUCCUACAGCGAUGAAGGCCGCAGCAAAAUGCGAUACGCAAUGAAAAUUGCAGUGACUGUGAAUCAUCAGAAUGCUGAAUGUAAACUACACCAAUUCCCUUCGGGGAAUAGUGGUACUCCUACAGAAAAUAAAAUAAUACUUUGCUCUCUAGGUUUCUUUUAAAUAUAAAAUAUGUUUUCAUAUUAUAUGUAUAAAAGAAAAGAGAAAUAGGAAUUUAUUCCAAACUAAAAAUUAAUUUUUAGUUAAAGUUUCUCGCUGAAUAAAAUUUAUUUUCAUUCAUUUUCUAGAGUAACAAAAAAAGAAUUCUUUAUUCUUUUUAACAAAGUGUUUGAUUUGAUGUUAGGAGGGCAAAUCCGCCGAAUUUAAGCAUAUAAUUAAGCGGAAGAAAAGAAAAUAACUAUGAUUCCUUUAGUAACGGCGAGUGAACAAGGACCAGCUCAAACGGUUAAUCCUUCGUUUGGUGCAAACCUUUCGACGGAAUUGUCGUUGAAUUAUUCCAUGAAUGCCUUUAAUUUGAGCAAAGUGAGCAGGAAUGCUUCCCCAUAGAGGGUGAAAGGCCCAUAGUUCUUUUUAAUUUAUUCAUUGGAAUUUUUCAUGCCGAGUCGUGUUCUUUGAGAUUGGAGCACUAAUACGUGUGAUACAUUUCACAUAAAGCUAAAUAUGUGUAGGAGACCGAUAGCAAACAAGUACCGUGAGGGAAAGAUGAAAUAGUACUCAGGAAUGAGCAAUUAAAUAGUACCUGAAAUCGUUAAGAUGGAACGGAUUAAGAGAGAAAACAAGUAAAGAGGGGAAUUUUUAAUUUUUUUUGUUAUAAUUCUCUUCUUUAUUAAAAGAAACAUCAGUGAUUAAUUUAAUUUCAAUAAAGCAAUCCCCUGAAAUUCAAAAUUUCUUUUAAUUUUGUUUUCACUUUCUCCCCGCACUAAUGUGGGGAAAACUGGCUUUAUUUCUUCAAUUAUUUUUUUUGCUGAGGAAUUUUAAAAUUAUUUGAAUUUUUCUUCUUAUAAUUUAAGUUGUUUCUAUAUAGUACUUUCUUAACCCACUCGUCUUGAAACACGGACCAAGGAGUCUAGCAAAUGUGCAAGUGUAUAUGAUUCUUUAAACAUUUCUCUUUUUAAUAUACGCAUAAUUAAUGUAAUAUGUUUCUUUAUUGUAGAUUUGUGGUGUUUAAUUUUUAUUAAAUCCCCACUUUGCAUACAAUACCGGUAAGCAAUUAUGCUUUAUUGAGUACGAGCAUAUUUGGUAGGACCCGAGAGGCUUUGAACUAAGCGUGAUGAGAUUGAAGUCAGACGAAAGUCUGAUGGAGGAUCGAGUUGAUACUGACGUGCAAAUCGUUCAUUUCAAUCACGUUUAGGGGCGAAAGACUAAUCGAAAAGCCUAUUAGCUGGUUAUUUUCGAAAGAUCUCUCAGGAUCGCUGGAGUUGAUUAAUAUAAUUUUACCAGGUAGAGAUAAUGAUUAGAGGAAUCAGGGAAAUCGUUUUCCUUGACCUAUUCUCAAACUCCCAAUAGGUAAAAAGGGCGAAAUAACUCAACUUGUAUUUCACUCAUAUUAAAUAAAAUAACUCCAAGUGGGCCAUUUUUGGUAAGCAGAACUGGCGAUGAGGGAUGCUCCUAACGCUUGGAUAAGGUGCCUAAAUAUUCGCUCAUGAGAUCCCAUAAAAGGUGUUGGUUCAUAAUGACAGUAGGACGGUGGUCAUGGAAGUCGAAAUUCGCUAAGGAGUGUGUAACAACUCACCUACCGAAUGAACUAGCCCUGAAAAUGGAUGGCGCUAAAGCGGAUUACCGAUACCAAGCCAUAAAAAGAACAGAAAAAAUUUAUUUUUUUUUUAGAAUCUUUUUAUGAGUAGAAAAUCGUGGGGUUUGUGUUGAAGCGAAAUACGUGAGUUUUCGUGGAACAUCUCCCUAGUGCAGAUCUUGGUGGAAGUAGCAACUAUUCAAAUGAGAACUUUGAAGACUGAAGUGGAGAAGGGUUUCUUGUCAACUGUGAUUGAACAAGAGUUAGCCGCUCCUAAGGGAUAGCUGAAAAGUGUUUAAAAGGGGUUCCUUCCCCGUCUCAAAAGGGAAACAGGUUGAUAUUCCUGUGCCAAUAGUAUUAUGAGUUUCUUAGAUGGUAACAUAUAUAUAAAUGAACUCCUUUACAUAGGCUUUACACUCGGGGUGCGUUUUCUUUGCACUUUACCUUUAUAACAAACCUUGGAAUCAAUUUACUUGGAGAAGAGGUUCGUUGAACUCAAUUCAAAAAAUUUCUUGAACGGGGUUUUCGGAUUCAGUUCAUUUUAUUUUUUGUUUUGUAGCAAUAGUAAUUCGUUUUUAUGAAUUAUCCGAAGUGGUAAGGACUAUCCUUGAAAAAAGGAGGGAACGGCUUUGUAAACUUGGUUUCUUCUGAUUCCAUUUUGCUUUGCUAUACUCUUAAUACUUGUAUGAGCGUACCAACAACCGCAUCAGGUCUCCAAGGUUAACAGCCUCUGGUUAAAUAGAAAAAAGUAGGUAAGGGAAGUCGGCAAAAUAGAUCCGUAACUUCGGGAAAAGGAUUGGCUCUGAGGACAUUAGAAAAGAGAAGAAAAAAAGAGGGUUCGAAAAUAAAAUUGCAGUCUUUAUUUGCUUUUCUUUCGAUUUGCUUGUAAUCUGCUUUUUCUUUUUCUUCUUUCUUUUUUUCUCCCCCUCUUUUCGCCUUCACUUUAUUGUAAUUUUAUUACUUUAAUUUGAUACCUAUAAUGUUAACUCAGAACUGAAACGGACAAGGGGAAUCCGACUGUUUAAUUAAAACAUAGCAUUGUGAAAAGCCACAACUGGUAUUAACACAAUGUGAUUUCUGCCCAGUGCUUUGAAUGUCAACUUGAUGAAAUUCAAUUAAGCGCAGGUAAACGGCGGGAGUAACUAUGACUCUCUUAAGGUAGCCAAAUGCCUCGUCAUCUAAUUAGUGACGCGCAUGAAUGGAUUAACGAGAUUCCCACUGUCCCUACUUGCUAUCUAGCGAAACCACAGCCAAGGGAACGGGCUUGGCAAAAUCAGCGGGGAAAGAAGACCUGUUGAGCUUUACUCUAGUCUGGCUUUGUGAAACGACUUAAGAGGUGUAGCAUAAGUGGGAGUAGAAACUGAAAUAUGUUUUUACGACAGUGAAAUACCACUACUUUAAAGUUGUUUACUUAUCCAUUUAUAGGGAAAUAUAUUAUGCUUUAUCCUUCGGGAA
This 3211-nucleotide ribosomal RNA is filed under the name Plasmodium falciparum 397.1. Its description in RNAcentral is "eukaryotic LSU rRNA". The stretch from base 354 to 3211 matches the Rfam family "Eukaryotic large subunit ribosomal RNA", at positions 1 to 2566 of the family's 3401-position model. Lineage: Eukaryota; Apicomplexa; Aconoidasida; Haemosporida; Plasmodiidae. The record is from RNAcentral.